Molecule: ribosomal RNA, 320 nt
Filed under: uncultured eukaryote
Lineage: Eukaryota
Description: partial 18S ribosomal RNA
Rfam family: Eukaryotic small subunit ribosomal RNA
Source: RNAcentral
CCCCUAGAUGUUCUGGGCCGCACGCGCGCUACACUGAACAGUUCAACAAGUCUUAACCUUGGCCGAUAGGUCUGGGUAAUCUUUGAACGCUGUUCGUGAUUGGGAUAGACCUUUGCAAUUAUGGGUCUUCAACGAGGAAUUCCUAGUAAACGCAAGUCAUCAGCUUGCAUUGAUUACGUCCCUGCCCUUUGUACACACCGCCCGUCGCACCUACCGAUUGAAUGGUCCGGUGAAAUCUCGGGACGGCGGCUUGGUCGCUUGCGUCCGACUGCUGAAACUUGAUUAAACCAUAUCAUUUAUAGGAAGGUGAAGUCGUAACA